GAUGAACGCUGACAGAAUGCUUAACACAUGCAAGUCAACUUGAACUUCGGUUUGGGUGGCGGACGGGUGAGUAACGCGUAAAGAACUUGCCUCACAGAUAGGGACAACAUUUGGAAACGAAUGCUAAUACCUGAUAUUAUGAUUAUAUGGCAUCGUAUAAUUAUGAAAGCUAUAUGCGCUGUGAGAGAGCUUUGCGUCCCAUUAGCUAGUUGGAGAGGUAACGGCUCACCAAGGCGAUGAUGGGUAGCCGGCCUGAGAGGGUGAUCGGCCACAAGGGGACUGAGACACGGCCCUUACUCCUACGGGAGGCAGCAGUGGGGAAUAUGGGACAAUGGACCAAGAGUCUGAUCAAGCAAUUCUGUGUGCACGAUGAAGUUUUUCGGAAUGUAAAGUGCUUUCAGUUGGGAAGAAAAAAAUGACGGUACCAACAGAAGAAGUGACGGCUAAAUACGUG
RNAcentral lists this ribosomal RNA (454 nucleotides) under uncultured bacterium. RNAcentral's name for it is "partial 16S ribosomal RNA". It matches the Rfam family "Bacterial small subunit ribosomal RNA", at positions 28 to 507 of the family's 1533-position model. The record is from RNAcentral.